CAGAAAUGAUGAUAUUAACAACUCAACUGUAGCCUCCUACUGCACUGAGCAUGGGAGAGGGUGGGCAUACUCCAGACUCCCUAUCCCUGCUGGGAGACAGGCUGAGACCCAGAACAAAUUCAAAUAGCCUGAUGGAUGUACAAGCUUGGGUACAAACCAGUGGAUUGGAAGGCCAUCUUGGUAUCUUCAUAAGAAGCACUGAACUCUUCCUCAGAGGGGUCAGAAGACCUCAGUUCAGAUCCCAGCUCUGUCCAUAGCUGGUGCCUGGUGCCUAGUAAGAACUGAAUAAAUACUUGUUGAUUUGGCUAGCUAA
Long non-coding RNA from Vombatus ursinus (common wombat), 313 nucleotides. RefSeq lists it as uncharacterized. The record is from RefSeq and is a predicted model, not a curated record. The transcript has 2 exons. Lineage: Eukaryota; Metazoa; Chordata; Mammalia; Diprotodontia; Vombatidae.